AACGAACGCUGGCGGCAUGCCUAACACAUGCAAGUCGAACGAGACCUUCGGGUCUAGUGGCGCACGGGUGCGUAACGCGUGGGAACCUGCCCUUAGGUUCGGAAUAACUCCCCGAAAGGGGUGCUAAUACCGGAUAAUGUCUUCGGACCAAAGAUUUAUCGCCUUUGGAUGGGCCCGCGUUGGAUUAGCUAGUUGGUAGGGUAAAAGCCUACCAAGGCGACGAUCCAUAGCUGGGUUGAGAGGAUGAUCAGCCACACUGGGACGGAGACACGGCCCAGACUCCUACGCGAGGCAGCAGUGGGGGAUAUUGGACAAUGGGCGGAAGCCUGAUCCAGCAAUGCCGCGUGAGUGAUGAAGGCCUUAGGGUUGUAAAGCUCUUUUACCCGGGAUGAUAAUGACAGUACCGGGAGAAUAAGCUCCGGCUAACUCCGUG
RNAcentral lists this ribosomal RNA (433 nucleotides) under uncultured bacterium. RNAcentral's name for it is "partial 16S ribosomal RNA". It matches the Rfam family "Bacterial small subunit ribosomal RNA", at positions 29 to 507 of the family's 1533-position model. The record is from RNAcentral.